Molecule: ribosomal RNA, 324 nt
Filed under: uncultured bacterium
Lineage: Bacteria
Description: bacterial SSU rRNA
Rfam family: Bacterial small subunit ribosomal RNA
Source: RNAcentral
AGCGAACGUUAGCGGCGGGCUUAACACAUGCAAGUCGAGCGAGAAAAGUCCCUUCGGGGGCUGAGUAAAGCGGCGGACGGGUGCGUAACACGUAGGUAAUCUACCCUCGGGCGGGGGAUAACGUUCCGAAAGGAAUGCUAAUACCGCAUAAGACCACGCUCACUACGGUGAGGGUGGGAAAAGAUGGCCACUCCAUGGAAGCUAUCACCUGAGGAUGAGCCUGCGGCCCAUCAGCUUGUUGGUGAGGUAACGGCUCACCAAGGCACAGACGGGUAGCUGGUCUGAGAGGAUGAUCAGCCACACUGGCACUGGAACACGGGCCAG